Molecule: long non-coding RNA, 1677 nt
Organism: Lolium rigidum
Lineage: Eukaryota; Viridiplantae; Streptophyta; Magnoliopsida; Poales; Poaceae
Exons: 2
Source: RefSeq, a predicted model, not a curated record
AUUGUACGCUAAUUCACAGCGUUCCCAUCCCCUCCCCCAGAUCUCACCACGCCGUUCCCAUCCCUAGCACCGACAUGCUCCUUCUUCCUCCGGCGGUGCCGACCUGCCAUGCUUCCUCCGCCGCCCCGGACCUGCCGUGCUUCUUGACGCCACCGACCUACUAUGCUUCCUCCACCAGCCGUGCGCACACAGAUCCCCCGGAUCCUCUACCUAUGAAUCUCGCGCGUCCGCACGGAUGUUGCUCCCGCGUGAGGAGACGUCGGCGGGGCAAAACUGACCGGCGGCCGGCAGAAGUAGGUGUUGGAGAUGUUGUGCGGGCCUUUUCCUCCGAAUCAAUGGUUCAUUGGUUGAUUCCACCGCUCACGGGAGCUUCCAGAACAUGCCUAGAUCUCCAAAAUGACAAGCAUUCAAAGGAAGCAAAUGAUGCUGAUACAGGUUAUAUGUUGAACUGUUGAAGAGUCGUUUGCAGCAGCUCAAUUGAGGUACAUAGUACAAGGGCUUAAGGAACCUCAGAGAAAACUCAUUACUGAGAAAGGCUUCUUCUUUGAAAAACUAGAGUUGGUAAUUCGAACUAACAUAUGUCUCAGUCUUAGUUUUACAUCUUUGUAAAGUAACAUAGUCAAUGGUCUUAACAACCAUCAUAUAUUAAUGCAUCCACAUGACCAACCUGAUGGGAUAACACUUAUUGAGGUAAUGUAUAUGAAAUUCUUUGCGUCCAAUAGAUAUGAUUUAUGUUGAAAUAACACUAAUAUUUUUCUAUGUACUGCACGUGAAAGGGUAUAUGAAAUUUCCAUGCUUCCAACAAAUAUGAUUUAUGUUGAGAUAGCACUCAUCAUUGCUUCUAAUUAAAUGUGCUUCCUAUGUACAUCAUGUUUAUUUCUUUAGUCUAGAUAGUUUGCUGCAUAUAACCAUGAGUCUCCCUUUUUGAUUUCUGGUAUUGUCAUUUUCAACACCAUUGUAAUUUAAAUGUUCUCCUCAUGCUACUUGCUAUGUUUCAGGCUUCCAAGCUGGUAGCAUGCUUCCAAUACAUGUAUGUGUUUCUUCAUUAAAGUUUGCAUAAAAAUAACCAUGCUUCCACCUGUUUUUUGCUCUUGUUUAAAUUGUAAGUAGCUGUAUUUUAAAAUUGCCCCAUGCUUCCUAUAUUUCUCACAUAUGUUGCUCAUGAUUCAAGCCAACAUAUUACCUUUUUCUUUCCCAGUGUCUACUAUUGUCUAGGUACUACGAAGCUGACAAUGAGCACGUCAAGAUCAAUGAGCACGUCAAGAUCAAGAUUAUGUUGGUCAAUGCCUCUUGUUGGAAGCACAACUUGUGGGGCGAGCGACUUCUUCACGUUAUUGGAAAAAGAGCGACGUGCUACUCCUAGUACCUCGGUUCUUUACACGGCUAUGCCAGUAGGUGUAAGCACUCCAUGAUGCAGGGAUGGUUGUUAGUGCUGGCAUUAGGUUGUUGCAGGUCAUCGAUGAGCCUCUGAUGUUCCCCAUCAACGUGCAUGUACCUUUACCAUGAGAGGUGGACGGUGGCCAUUUUGCCCGAUGACACAAACCACAUUUAUGUUUUUUAUCGUAUGUAGAAUCAAAAUCUGAUACUACUAGAAGCAGAAGGAAUGUUAUUUCGAACAAAAUUAUGUCCGCCGGAGGUAGCAGUGAUGAUAGAAACAAAUUUGUUUCAUUAGAAGCA